UAGGUCUUACUGCAUUUUAAUCCAUGG
Molecule: non-coding RNA, 27 nt
Filed under: Rattus norvegicus (Norway rat)
Lineage: Eukaryota; Metazoa; Chordata; Mammalia; Rodentia; Muridae
Source: RNAcentral